Molecule: long non-coding RNA, 5531 nt
Organism: Astatotilapia calliptera (eastern happy)
Lineage: Eukaryota; Metazoa; Chordata; Actinopteri; Cichliformes; Cichlidae
Source: Ensembl
AAAGAAACAUGACAAAGCUCAGAUUUGAAUACAAUGAAAGCAAAGAAUACAAAUGAUGUUUAUUCAUAUGGGACAUGUCAGGCAAGUUACAUAACCCAUAAAACAGCCAAAUACGAAAUGCAAUGCAAUACAUUUUAAUACAUUUUACAUAGAAAAUUAAGCGUUUGCAAUGUGCAACGAAGCAAAUUAUAAACUGUUUGUUUGGUGAAUGAACAUCAGUCGGUUGGAAAUGCAUGUUAGUUGUAUGCAGUGCAACUAAAUGCUGCAUCUGCAUGUUUUGUAGGAACAGUUAACACACUACUAUCGCAUGACAUGAGAGCUAAAGAGUGCAAAUACAGUAAGACCUACACCAAAAAAACCGUUUUGGGUCUAUUACCAUGUGGGGAUUUUCAGAGAUACAGUGCCAUUGUUAAUUUUACAAGUUCUGUUUUCUUCUUCUUUGUUAGAACAAUCAAAUCAUCUGCAGCCUCAAAGUCUGUUUGGAGGGGAGACGUUAUAAACGGUCUCCUACAGUUGAUCCCGAUGGAAAUGAAAGUGGGGAUAGAUUCUUUAAAGAUCUUGCCUGAACUUGAAUGCUCCAGUUCUCCCAGUUUUCAGGACUUUUUUGUUGACCUGGCAUGCUUAUUAGGAUUUCAAUCUGAGUCUUCAGCAGGAAAUUCAAAGACAGAGUUUGAUGACAGAGAUGAGUUUGUGCCUCUUUCUUCUGUCUUUCUGUUGUGUAUGAUGUCAGUUUUCUUCUAAAGAGAAAGCAAAUUUUAAGGCUGACGUAAUGACACUCAAAUACAGUCAGCUGGCUGAGAUUACAUUAUCUACAUUAUCUGAUAUCUAACUCCCCACCUAAGUGCCUGAAUAACUUACAAUUUUGAUAAUUAGCUGUUGCUUACUGACUGACUGCCUGGCUGCAUGACUGAUGGCCAUAUUGACUGGCUGCCUGUCUGUCUGCCAUACUGACAAACUGGAUGACUAUUGAGGCUCAGUCCUGCUAUGUGGUGAGAUCAUCAUCACUGGCAAGUGCAACAAAAGACUGAUGGGAAGAGGCUGUCUAUGUGUGUGUGGGGGUGUGUGUGCAAGUGUGUGAUGGCUUCAUUCCUGUAUUAACACAGUUCUCUCUGUGGAUGAGUCAGUAGGCCAAGCCUGACCAUCAUCCUCUCUCAUCUCCCUUUCUCUGUCACACACAUACACAGGAAAUCAAAAAGCUCUCAGCACACACACACACACACACACACACACACACACACACACACACACACACACACACACACACACACAAAAUGUAGGCUUAGGGUGAAGUGGUGCUUAGAAGAAGCGAACUUGGGGUCAGGGUAGAGAGAGAGAGACAAGAGAAGGGACAGAUAACACUUCUGUGGGAGACACUAUGUUUUAUUUUCAGUGCAUCAUAAAUGGCUGUUUCCAUUGACUAAUCCUUUAAUUUUAAAACCUGACAUCUCCUCUAAACUAUUCAUAAACUACUCUACAUUUUACAAUCAUAUCAUAGUUUUAUUUUAUUCCAGGGCUGACUCUUUUCUUCUGCUUUAAAGCACGAGCUAUGAGAUAAAGAAAGGAGCAGACACAGAGAAGUGACAGAAAGAGCAGAGCCAGUGUUAGGAGGAACACAUGGGGGAGAGGAUUUAGUGUAACACCCAGCUGUCUACCUGUCUGUCUGACUGAGGGAAAGUGGGGUUUUCAGUGUAACACAGAGCCAAGCUGUUCUCCUCAGCGGCGGGUAAAAGUGUGUGUGUAUGUGUACUCUCCUUGCUUGCUUGGUCUCAGGGGCGCCAUGGUGAGGAGGAGAUAGGCAGACGACCAAAUUCUCUCUCUCUCUCUCACUCUCCUGUCUCCAGUAUAGAUGUCUCUAUAUGAACACAAAGCGAAAGAGAGAGGAUGAGAGACACAGAGAAAGAGAAAAACAGAGGGGAGGUAACAACAAAACAGACCCUCUCCAUGCCAAUGCAAAACCCCACUGUACCUCUGUUGGUCUCUCCUUCUGUUUUUGUCUUGUUUCUGUCAGAUGAAUCUCAAUCCCCUGCUUUGAGGAUAUAUGACUUCUCAGCUCUUUCUCUUCUUACAGUCUCUCUAUUUCUUAAGUAUUUUCUCUUUUUUCCCAUUUCUCUAUUAACCCCUUUGUUGUCCAUCUUUUUAUCCCACCAUCUUUUCUUCCCCUAAAAAAGGGUAUAUGAGCAGUUUUAUGCAUUUGUUUAUUUAUUUUGCUUUUUAGAUUCAUCUAUAUGUAACUGUUCUCUUUGUUAAUGUAUGUUUUUACAUAUUUAAUCUCACGGGUUAUCCUCUAUGUGAAAUUAUUGACUACAUGGGUUUUAUUUAGCAAUAUGUGCAGCUGAAAAUUCUUAGUAUAUGAACAGAAGGAUAAAACUACCUUUAUUUUGGUUUGUAAAGAGUAAUUAUAAAUGUUGUAUUAAUGUCUUUUAAUGUGUUACAGUAAAUUUGAUUUACUCUACAUUCAACUAAUGUAUUCUAUUAUAAAGGGACAAGGUUAGUUUCCAUUUCUUUACAUAGUAAAAAUAUUGUUGAUCAUGUGAUAGUAUUUUCCAUGUGUACAUGUCUUUUUUGUACUGCUAGUUUUCCAAACCAUGUAUAAAUCAAUUAUUUAAAGCAAAUGUGACACCAAACUGGUUUUAAAACACGUUGUUAUUGUUGUUUUAUUAACAAAGCUGUAAUAGAAAACUAACUGCAAAAGAAAAAACUUUUUCAAUAUGGACACUAAAUAUUUUCCUUGUCUUGUAUAAAAAACUAUUUUCAAUUCAGAUCCCCUUGUUAAACUUCACAAACUAGAAAAAGAAGCUGUAAAGUAAACUGAAAUAGCACCUACCUGCCACCUGCAGAGACAGAAGACACACAAGAAUAGAGAGCUAGAAUGGCAAAUACAAUAGAGGAGGAAAUGUUAUCAUAUACGGCUUCAAUGAUUAAUAUUUUACGUGGUUUCUCAAGAGAAUAAUCUACAUCAUAUAGAGAUGCAAUUUCCAUAAUGCACACAUCCUCAUUUCAUUAGAGGAAAACCCUAUAAAAUGGUUAAAGGCCUGAAUAAUGAUGCAGCGGCAAUUAAAAUGGCGGAUAACCCAGCGGACCUGCAGGCAGUUAUCCUUAAUGAGAUAAUAAUAAUCUCUGCUCUUUUUUUCUCUUUUAACAACUUACAUCAUUGUCGUGCUGCUUAAAUAUGGUUUAUGCUCCGGAUUCAUCAAAAAGAAAAAACCUUGAUAAGGGGCGUAGGUGACUGUUUUGUUCAUUCUGAGGGAGGUCGCUGUCUUUUUUUGAUGACAAAAUUUAUUAAUGAUCAAAUGUUUUUAAAUAAAGUACAAAGAGUGCAUGGGAACCUCUUUAUUGGGUGAAACAGCUGAAGUUGUCCUUUAUUGUUUGUUAUUAUUAAUCUGAUUCUUGGUGUACAAUAAAAGUUAUUUUUUUGUUUUUUGGAUUUUAUUUUAAAAUGUGUCAGCUGUGAUUCUGGAACAAAAAAAACCUUGAAAAAAUCUUGAAGAAAUAUGAUAAACUGAAGGGGGAAAAGUGUUGAACAGACAGCCUGCAUGUGAGGAUAUAAAUAGACGCGAGACUUCACAAGUCCAAACACAAAAGCGUUCUCAGGGAGCAGAGGAGGGAUGCAAAGUGCUAAACUCACCAGCACCCAGUGACGUGGUGAUACUGGUCGUUUUCCUGCCGGGGGAAGAUUUAAUAAACGCAGAAAAACAAACACGGUCUGUGCAGUGACGGGGUUGUUGCGAGGUGAGGACGGUGGCACACUGGACACAUCCUCCUGUAGGAAGGAAGCGGAGUUGUGGAAAAAAAGCAAACAGGAGCCACGGACGGGUCUCUUUAACCCCGCCGUGAACUCGCGACCCUACCAUCCGACUACUUCCCAUUACCUCUGCACGACAUUUAGCCCACAUACCGCAGAGCGCUCACGCACACGCAGCAUUGUGUGGGUCUGUUUGGAUGGGGUGGAGGGGAGCAAGCGAGGGCGGCGGCGUGCUGUUCAUGGAAGGGUCAAAAGAAUGAAAACUACCGUGUUCACAGGGCAAUUACAAAGUGCGGACGCUGGAUGGUCUGUGCAGCCUCAGCCGACAGGGAGAGAAAAUAUUAGGCUGAAGCAAAAGGAUUUCUUAAAAAUAUUUUUUCUCACUUUUGGCUAAUAUUAAACUUAAAGUUAAAUCUCUUUUUAUCUCAUUUGAUGGUGGAUUUAAUGGGUAAAAUCAACAUUGAGUAAAAAACAAACAAAACAAGAACAACCCGUUCUGAAAUUUGGAAAAACCUUUCUUCUUUUCUUUUCUUUUCUUUUCUUUUCUUUUCUUUUCUUUUCUUUUCUUUUCUUUUCUUUUCUUUUCUUUUCUUAACGUCUAAUUUUAAAUUGUAUGAUAACGCAAAUAGCCUGCCUCAAACCUCAUUAUAAUCUCGAUAUUAUUGCUGCAUAACAAGAAAUUUAUCAAAAAGAAAAGCGUCACUAUUUCCCAAUCCAAUCAAUCUAAGUUAAGGCUCGUUAUGAGCGUGCUGUACUAGUGCUCCAGUGUGAACUUAUCUGAGUGAAUUUUCUGCAAAGAAAAAAGCUCGUUUGGAUCUUAUUUUGCUAACAACUAAAAGUCGCAUUAAAGCAAUAAAAUAGUGACGCCUUUGAUGACUCCCGUCAGAAUUAAUUGCUCUGCAUACUGUCAGACUGUUUCAUUAGGAUGUUUACAAAUCUGUCAUUAGCUGUAAAGACUAAUUAUGGGUAAAGUAUCAAUAACUUUAAGCAAUUGUAAAUUUAAUAUUCAUCUAAUUUGGACUAUAUAAUAUUAAGACGUUCUGUUGCGCAUUUUUACUUACUGUGCUAUUCCGGGUGUUUUUCGACACUUACAGUCUAUUGGACAUUAGACAGCUUUAUCCUAUCUGCUGAAAGGCCAGCUGAUACGCUACUGUGUCGAGCUCGCAAUUUCAAUCUAUAGUGUUUUCUUCUACAUGGCUGUGCCAUAAAGGGUUACGUUCUUUUCUGUUAGAUGUAUAUUUUUUCACAUAUAUUUCUUUUUCUCUGAUAUAUAGUCUGUGUCUAAUGCUUUUAGAUUAUUUCUUCUUCUGAUGGAGUAAAGCUGCCUCUAAAUGUUAAAGAUAAUAGGUUAACUGAGUGGAAAGGUCGUGGUUGCUUAAGAAGAGAAAUGAAGCGGCCACAGGAGACACGACGGAGGGCAGAUCCACAACUACAGCUGCCACACAUGAAUGUUUGAUAAGCGGGCGGGAUAAUGGCUUCUUAAAUCAGUCAAACAUAAACAUCUCCAUCACGCUCUGACAUCUGCCAUCCAUAAUAAUCUAAACCUGAAUAAUGAACGAACAACAACAAAAACGCUGAAAUAUCUCAAUGUGCCAUAUAGGAAGGCGGAUAUAGGUCAAGUUUGUUUUGUUCGGUUUAUGUUAGUAUGUAUGUGCUAUUGCAAUACUUGCGGUGACUGUCGCUUUGUGGCCUGGGUAUCACUUCAGGGUUUUUGUAUAUGCGCAAGUAAGCUGCACAGAAAAGAUUGCAGGUCAUAUGCAGGCUCCACUGAUUUCAGCAGCGUGUGUUU